UGUAUAUAGAAAAGUGAAAAUGAAUAGUAAUUUGGGACGGAGAGAGAGUGAUCAAACUAGCACAUGGCCAAGGCAAUUCGAUAUUCCGCCGCAGUUUGGAAAAUGGGACUGCGAUAUAGCAGUGACAAUAAGGUGAAAAAUAUAGUCUUCCAUUUCUGCUGCCGCUUCCGGCUUUCUUAUGGAAAAAUGUUCCAACGGAACUGAAUUGCCGAAAUGCGAUGCCUCUAAAUUAACACAUCUACUACAGACAGAAUGAUCUAUCAUUGCAGGUUGCAAGGCCCGUGACGCAGGAGUCAAAUCAGGAUUGGGCCUGGUACGCACCUACCGGAAGAGAACGGAUAAGGAUUGAUUGGGCUACGGAGGAAAGGAGGGGAGACCAAGUAAGCAUGGCACAAAAUGCUAAUGUUUAUCGUCCACAUCACACUUUCUGGCCUUUUCUUCUUUUUUCUUUUGUAUAUUUCUGAAUGAAC
Molecule: long non-coding RNA, 470 nt
Filed under: Setaria viridis
Lineage: Eukaryota; Viridiplantae; Streptophyta; Magnoliopsida; Poales; Poaceae
Description: long non-coding RNA (SVIR_LNC002401)
Source: RNAcentral